AGCCGCGGUAAUUCCAGCUCUCAAAAUGCAUAGAAUUAUUGCUGCGGUUAAAAAGCUCGUAGUUGGAUCUGUGCCGACAGACUGGUCCAUCUUCGGAUGCGUACUGGUUAUUGUCGGCUUUCCUGCAGUUUUGCGGCUCAGUGCCUCUCACGGGGUGCAGUGUCCGUUGCUGCAAGUUUACUUUGAACAAAUCAGAGUGCUCUAAACAGGCGUUUCGCUUGAAUGUUCGUGCAUGGAAUAAUAGAAGAGGAUUUCGGUUCUAUUUUAUUGGUUUUAUAGACUGAGAUAAUGGUUAACAGAGACAAACGGGGGCAUUCGUAUUGCUACGUGAGAGGUGAAAUUCUUGGACCGUAGCAAGACGAACUACAGCGAAAGCAUUUGCCAAGAAUGUCUUCAUUAAUCAAGAACGAAAGUCAGAGGUUCGAAGGCGAUCAGAUACCGCCCUAGU
RNAcentral lists this ribosomal RNA (448 nucleotides) under Pratylenchus scribneri. RNAcentral describes it as "SSU rRNA". It matches the Rfam family "Eukaryotic small subunit ribosomal RNA", at positions 572 to 1024 of the family's 1831-position model. The record is from RNAcentral. Lineage: Eukaryota; Metazoa; Nematoda; Chromadorea; Rhabditida; Pratylenchidae.